AACGAACGCUGGCGGCAUGCCUAACACAUGCAAGUCGAACGAGACCUUCGGGUCUAGUGGCGCACGGGUGCGUAACGCGUGGGAACCUGCCCUUAGGUUCGGAAUAACUCCCCGAAAGGGGUGCUAAUACCGGAUAAUGUCUUCGGACCUAAGAUUUAUCGCCUUUGGAUGGGCCCGCGUUGGAUUAGCUAGUUGGUAGGGUAAAAGCCUACCAAGGCGACGAUCCAUAGCUGGUCUGAGAGGAUGAUCAGCCACACUAGGACUGAGACACGGCCCAGACUCCUACGGGAGGCAGCAGUGGGGAAUAUUGGACAAUGGGCGAAAGCCUGAUCCAGCAAUGCCGCGUGAGUGAUGAAGGCCUUAGGGUUGUAAAGCUCUUUUACCCGGGAUGAUAAUGACAGUACCGGGAGAAUAAGCUCCGGCUAACUCCGUG
RNAcentral lists this ribosomal RNA (433 nucleotides) under uncultured bacterium. RNAcentral describes it as "partial 16S ribosomal RNA". It matches the Rfam family "Bacterial small subunit ribosomal RNA", at positions 29 to 507 of the family's 1533-position model. The record is from RNAcentral.